UCGGAAUUACUGGGCGUAAAGCGUGCGCAGGCGGCUUUGCAAGACAGAUGUGAAAUCCCCGGGCUUAACCUGGGAACUGCAUUUGUGACUGCAUGGCUGGAGUGCGGCAGAGGGGGAUGGAAUUCCGCGUGUAGCAGUGAAAUGCGUAGAUAUGCGGAGGAACACCGAUGGCGAAGGCAAUCCCCUGGGCCUGCACUGACGCUCAUGCACGAAAGCGUGGGGAGCAAACAGG
Molecule: ribosomal RNA, 232 nt
Filed under: uncultured bacterium
Lineage: Bacteria
Description: partial 16S ribosomal RNA
Rfam family: Bacterial small subunit ribosomal RNA
Source: RNAcentral